UGUCACUAAAGGCCAGGCAGCCUGGGAUG
Molecule: non-coding RNA, 29 nt
Filed under: Mus musculus (house mouse)
Lineage: Eukaryota; Metazoa; Chordata; Mammalia; Rodentia; Muridae
Source: RNAcentral